Molecule: transfer RNA, 73 nt
Filed under: Streptosporangium becharense
Lineage: Bacteria; Bacillati; Actinomycetota; Actinomycetes; Streptosporangiales; Streptosporangiaceae
Rfam family: tRNA
About the family: Transfer RNA (tRNA) molecules are approximately 80 nucleotides in length. Their secondary structure includes four short double-helical elements and three loops (D, anti-codon, and T loops).
Source: Rfam by way of RNAcentral
GGAUCCGUAGCGCAGUGGUCGUCGUGCCACCCUGCAAAGGUGGAAGACGCCGGUUCGAAUCCGGCCGGAUCCC